GAUGAACGCUGGCGGCGUGCCUAAUACAUGCAAGUCGAGCGAACAGACGAGGAGCUUGCUCCUCUGACGUUAGCGGCGGACGGGUGAGUAACACGUGGAUACCCUACCUAUAAGACUGGGAUAACUUCGGGAAACCGGAGCUAAUACCGGAUAACAUGUUGAACCGCAUGGUUCAACAGAGAAAGACGGUCUUGCUGUCACUUAUAGAUGGAUCCGCGCCGCAUUAGCUAGUUGGUAAGGUAACGGCUUACCAAGGCAACGAUGCGUAGCCGACCUGAGAGGGUGAUCGGCCACCCUGGAACGGAGACACGGUCCAGACUCCUACGGGAGGCAGCAGUAGGGAAUCUUCCGCAAUGGGCGAAAGCCUGACGGAGCAGCGCCGCGUGAGUGAAGAAGGUCUUCGGAUCGUAAAACUCUGUUAUUAGGGAAGAACAAAUGUGUAAGUAACUAUGCACGUCUUGACGGUACCUAAUCAGAAAGCCACGGCUAACUACGUG
RNAcentral lists this ribosomal RNA (497 nucleotides) under uncultured bacterium. RNAcentral describes it as "partial 16S ribosomal RNA". It matches the Rfam family "Bacterial small subunit ribosomal RNA", at positions 28 to 507 of the family's 1533-position model. The record is from RNAcentral.